RNAcentral lists this ribosomal RNA (492 nucleotides) under uncultured bacterium. RNAcentral's name for it is "partial 16S ribosomal RNA". It matches the Rfam family "Bacterial small subunit ribosomal RNA", at positions 29 to 507 of the family's 1533-position model. The record is from RNAcentral.
AGUGAACGCUGGCGGUAGGCCUAACACAUGCAAGUCGAACGGCAGCACAGUAAGAGCUUGCUCUUACGGGUGGCGAGUGGCGGACGGGUGAGGAAUACAUCGGAAUCUACUUUUUCGUGGGGGAUAACGUAGGGAAACUUACGCUAAUACCGCAUACGACCUACGGGUGAAAGCAGGGGAUCUUCGGACCUUGCGCGAUUGAAUGAGCCGAUGUCGGAUUAGCUAGUUGGCGGGGUAAAGGCCCACAAAGGCGACGAUCCGUAGCUGGUCUGAGAGGAUGAUCCGCCACACUGGCACUGAGACACAGUCCAGACUCCUACGGGAGGCAGCAGUGGGGAAUAUUGGACAAUGGGCGCAAGCCUGAUCCAGCCAUACCGCGUGAGUGAAGAAGGCCUUCGGGUUGUAAAGCCCUUUUGUUGGGAAAGAAAAGCAGCAGGUUAAUACCCCGCUGUUCUGACGGUACCCAAAGAAUAAGCACCGGCUCACUUCGUG